RNAcentral lists this ribosomal RNA (426 nucleotides) under uncultured Comamonadaceae bacterium. Its description in RNAcentral is "bacterial SSU rRNA". It matches the Rfam family "Bacterial small subunit ribosomal RNA", at positions 356 to 774 of the family's 1533-position model. The record is from RNAcentral. Lineage: Bacteria; Pseudomonadati; Pseudomonadota; Betaproteobacteria; Burkholderiales; Comamonadaceae.
GGGGAAUUUUGGACAAUGGGCGCAAGCCUGAUCCAGCAAUGCCGCGUGCAGGAAGAAGGCCUUCGGGUUGUAAACUGCUUUUGUACGGAACGAAACGGUCCUGGUUAAUACCUGGGGCUAAUGACGGUACCGUAAGAAUAAGCACCGGCUAACUACGUGCCAGCAGCCGCGGUAAUACGUAGGUGGCAAGCGUUGUCCGGAUUUACUGGGCGUAAAGGAUGCGUAGGCGGAUAUUUAAGUGAGAUGUGAAAUACCCGGGCUCAACUUGGGUGCUGCAUUUCAAACUGGAUAUCUAGAGUGCAGGAGAGGAAAGUGGAAUUCCGCGUGUAGCAGUGAAAUGCGUAGAUAUGCGGAGGAACACCGAUGGCGAAGGCAGUCCCCUGGGCCUGUACUGACGCUCAUGCACGAAAGCGUGGGGAGCAAACA